RNAcentral lists this ribosomal RNA (441 nucleotides) under Tomocerus minor. Its description in RNAcentral is "partial 28S ribosomal RNA". It matches the Rfam family "Eukaryotic large subunit ribosomal RNA", at positions 347 to 635 of the family's 3401-position model. The record is from RNAcentral. Lineage: Eukaryota; Metazoa; Arthropoda; Collembola; Entomobryomorpha; Tomoceridae.
AGUACCGUGAGGGAAAGUUGAAAAGAACUUUGAAGAGAGAGUUCAAUAGUACGUGAAACCUCUCGGGGGUAAGCGGGCAGAACUUGCAAGUAUUGGUGAGGAGAUUCAGGCUUAGUGUUGGUGACUGAGAGUAUGAAUUAAGUUGUUUGUUCGCAAACGGACUGAUGUGUGCUCUUUGUUUUGCUGAUAAUGCGCCGCAUUUCUUUUUACCAUCCGGGUUGCAUGCAACUGAGUUGGCAAUUUAGGUGCUGGGUGUCUGCGUGUCCUUGUGGCAUAGCCCUGGUUUUCCAAUUGCUCAUGCGGUUGUUGAAAGCGAACAGGCGUUUGUCGCGGUCAAUAUUUUUCACGAGUAGGGUUUGUAUAGUAUAUGGAUGGGUAACCAUAGUAUAUUGUACCGACUGAUUGUCAGUGAGAGAUAUUUUGGCUCUGUUCAGUAUUGCA